CACAGCCAAUGAAGGAAAUCUACAGACAGAUACCCAGUGGGCAGGCCCUGAGGAAGCCUGGGUAUUCUGUGGGAAUUGGCCAAGUGACAAGCCAUUUUUGUCCAAGGGUCGCAAAGACCUGAUACAGCUAUCUCUGCAGCUGAAAUGGAAAACAAACUUACAAAGCCCCCCUGGAGAAUGGAAUGGCCCUUUACGGUGACAAGGGCUUCUGGCCCAGGAGUCCCUGCCGCCAGAGCCCCAUCCCAGGGAAGAUGGAACAGUCGCACGCAGGCCUGGGCUCUGCCCACACCAAUGAGCGGAGCUGGCAGGCAGCUUCCAGGGGCCAGCGCCACAAACAAACGAGUGCCGCCUUGCUUCUGCCUGCCAAACCUUGUGCGAGAAUCUCUCUUGAGGCCCACGCUAACCAGAACCAUGCAGAGAGGGGGAAGCUGGGAAGUGUCCCGCAGUCUGGCCAAGUUGACACAGGCCACUGGCCAGUUUUCAUCCACCUGGCAACAAGCAAAGCAUAUGAGGGCUCCGUAUGCCGGCGUCUAUGGAAGGACACAAGCUCUCUGGCAAACCUGAGCUUCUUCACAAAGUCCAAUGCUGUUUGAAGAAGCAAAAAAGAUGCCCGACUGGAGACAGGGUCAAGUAAAUUGGUUCUUAAUUGGUUUAGAUUGUUUUAACUUUGUA
This 672-nucleotide long non-coding RNA is filed under the name Chinchilla lanigera (long-tailed chinchilla). RNAcentral describes it as "lncRNA (ENSCLAG00000028209.1)". The record is from RNAcentral. Lineage: Eukaryota; Metazoa; Chordata; Mammalia; Rodentia; Chinchillidae.